AAAGAGUGGUGCGCAUCAAUAAUGUUCGAGCGACAAGCUAAAGUUGCUUGGUCGUAGCCUCGGUGAGACCGUAUUGCGUGUGAACAUGGGGUACAGGACACUUCAACUUACAUCCCGAUGAACUUCUUUAAAGAAUGGGUAGUGAGCCCGUAGAAGUAUAAGCAGCAUAAGCAGUAGAUAAUAGUGUAACACGUGACCAGUGUGCUAACACUUCAACCAACACCAUAAAGCAUAAAAGGUGUCCGCAAGUUGGUUGUAUCUAUCUACAUAAUUUUAUAUAACAAUAGAAUGUUCACUUUUAUGUUAUUUAGCAUAGGAGGGUCUCACUCCUAAUUUAGCUAAAGAAUAGGCUUUCAAAACGAGCAAUGAGCAUUGCAGGGGGCCAAUGCGACAUCGAGGAAAGGCCGGUGCACCUCAAUUGCUUGAGGAAUUGACCGGACGACCUCCAGGAAGUUGGAGUCGUGUUCGGGUGACGUCAAUGUUCCCCGGGUCACCACCAUGCUUCAUGGUGAUGCUAGGUCUCGAAUGUCUUCGUUUUGAGCGGAAGAAUGGAUGUCCAUGAGAAUUUCUCAAAAUUUGGAUCACUAUAUCUCUUCCAGGUUGACCAAUUUAGUCAAACCAAAGCCUAUAUGAGUCAGUGUCCCAAAUAUCAUGUUUGGCGACAACAUGGGAUUCGAUAUUCGAAUCAUAGUGACAUACAGUCCACUAGAUUGACUCAUGAAUUUCUCCAAGAUGCGCUUCAGUCCGCAUUCAUGAGAAGGUAUACACAAAAGAAUUCUUGUUCAUUCUCACAAUGUGUUUUCAAAUGAAAACCAUUAGCAUGAAUGUCUUUAAAGCUCAACAUGGUUCCUUAGAAUGUUGUGGAUAGUUCCACUAUCUGCGAAGCACUCAAUGUCUCUAUGAGACAUAACUACAAGGAGUAGAUAGGCGAGUAAAUAGUUCUACUUGAACCAUUUAGAAGGAUUGAAAGAAGCUACGAAAAGCUGC
RNAcentral lists this long non-coding RNA (987 nucleotides) under Fragaria vesca (wild strawberry). RNAcentral's name for it is "long non-coding RNA (FVES_LNC004378)". The record is from RNAcentral. Lineage: Eukaryota; Viridiplantae; Streptophyta; Magnoliopsida; Rosales; Rosaceae.